UCUAAUUCGGUCGUUUGCUUACAUAGGUUGAAGUCACUGGUUUUAUUAAUGCUGGUGAUCGAAAUCAAUCCAAGUUAAUGUGAAAACGAUAUCAUUAUUUUUGUUAUGGUGAGAACUAAUUUAAAUUAAGAAAUUGAAUUACUUUUUUAUACCUCUUUUGUGAUUAUUUACUGAGAAUUUGUUAAUUGUUUUAAUAAAUAUGGGGUAGGAUUUCUACGAUCAUUUCUCAUCUUUAGAGAUUGUUGAAUUUCUACAUUCAUUUCUCAUCUUUAGAGAUUGCUGGAUUUCAUAUUGUUGAAUAGUUUAUGGAUUUUCAUAUUUAGUGCGUCAAUAUGUUGUUACAGUAAUUCAAUUAGAUGUGAUAUAAGUUGAUGUGUUUAUACCUUUAAAGAUCAUUUUUCACACAAUUUCUAAUCCCGCAGCAACGCGCAGGCAAAACUUUCUAGUACAUAUACUAAAACUCAACACAAAAUUACUGUUGAUUAACAGUAAACCGACGAAAAUGCCCUCCAAUUUAUUUGUUAUCUGCCCUUUUUUUUCCUUUUUUAACAGUAAAAAUAUGACUUUGCUCUUCAUAUUUCAUCGCUCUGCAUCGACUACUUCUCGACUUUUUCCUCCGUUCCACUUUUCUCUCACAAUUCCCUACUUCUGUCGCUCUUGAACCUCGAUUCCUUUCGCUCUCCAAAGCUGCCUUCUCUCCCUCUCCGACCUUGCGACCCAACCGCACUUUCUUGCUAAAAAAACCUUCACUGCUUUCUCUGUUGCUAGAGGUUGCUUUCUCUUCUACUCCGGCAAGGCCUUUAGUUCUCAAUUAGAUUCCGGAAUAAAAGCCCAGAAAGUUAAUAUGGCAAAGCGAGAGCUUUCCAGCACUCUCAGGAACUUAAAAGGUAAAAAGAAACGAAGAAAUUUCAAUUUUUUUGGUUUUUUAUUUAUUUUCAGUGUUAAUUUCUGAUGAAAUUAUUAUUUUUGAUAAACCCUCUUAGAAUCUAAUCUAGGUUUUGCUUUAAUUCAUCUUGGUGUUUUUUAAUUUUGAGUUAUAUAAUUUUCUGGUGGACCUAUAAUUGUAUUUACAGAUUAAUAUAACGUAAUCGUGUUAUUUUUUUAAUUACUGUAGUUUAUGCAAAGAGCAACUUAGAAAGAGGUGAAGAAAGAAGAAGAUGUCAAACCAUACCUCAUCACCUCAGGUACUUUUAGCUCUAUUGCAUGUCAAAAUCAGCUUCAAAUCUGUGAUUUAAUAUACUUUAAUUUUAGCAAGUUUUUAGUGAUUUUGUAGAAUUUUACGUUUAAUAACCAAGUGAAUUACUUUACUUGGUUGGACCUGUUUUAUAGCUAUAUUUCAACCUUUCCUCUGAUGGCUUUUGACGAUUGGAUUUCUCGAGUCUACUUUCCAUGCUUUGAUCAUUUCAUUUGGCAUAGGGUUCUGGGUUUUGGAGAAUUCUUCAUUAAAUUGGCGGGUUUGUAGUUGUGCCCUUAUAUUUCUGGGUUUGGUUUUAUGUUAGUUUAGUAAAAAAUUUUAGCUUUUGCAGAAUUCUUUGUGAUUAAAUUUCUGGGUUUAGUAGCGGAUCUUGAGGUUGUGGUCUCCAGUAAAAGGUAAUUUUUACAUUAAUUUUGUAAAAAUUUGUACAUAUCAAUGUAUUAGAAUAUUUAAAUUUGAACUCACAUUUUUUUUUUAAAAUUUAAAUUUUAUUCUCUGCAUAGUCUAGAAAAAUUCUGCUUUCCUAAUCAUUUCACACAAUUUUGUUUAGUUUUAAAAGUUUUGCUAUAAUUUUCUCUGAUGAAAGGACAUUCUGUGACAAAAACCAUGAUCAAUUUGUUUGCAGGUUGAAGAUUUCUACUUUCACCAAGUUUAUCUCCAACUCC
RNAcentral lists this long non-coding RNA (1860 nucleotides) under Malus domestica (apple). RNAcentral's name for it is "long non-coding RNA (MDOM_LNC006848)". Lineage: Eukaryota; Viridiplantae; Streptophyta; Magnoliopsida; Rosales; Rosaceae. The record is from RNAcentral.